UGUGCUCCUGGGACACGCUCAGGUGACACACACCAGGGUACCUGAUGUGCCUGUUUGUGAGGAUGAGGAGUCCUGAGCUGAAUCACUGAACCUUUGCCAAUGCAAAUUUGCUAAAUCUGGGAAGUGUUUAGAGUUCCAACUCUCAAACUUCCAAAUUUGUGCUGAAGAAAGGCUUGCUUGGACUCAUUGCUCAUCUGCAAGAGGUGCUUGCUUGCCUUGUCCAGCUGGCAGCCUUCCCAGGUGCUGCAUCCACGUCCCCAGGCAGCAGUCUCACAUCACAUCACCCCAGGGGAAGGACCCGUGCUGCUCACGACAGCAAGGGAGGAGAUUGGAAAGGAGCUUUCAAGGAAGAAAACAGGAGGCUGCCCUGGAUGGGAUCUCAAAGCCUCUGCUCAUCCUCACCCUUGUGUGGAAACACAAGGGGCUGAAUCUGGCCAUGUCUUAAUCAGAGGGGCCCUUCUGAGGAUCUCAGCAGCAUCUUCCUUGCAUGGAUCUGGUCCUGGAACUGAAGUGAGAGUUGUCCUCUUUCUGGGCUGGCAGUUUUUCCCUAGAACUGAGGUGGAAGGAAUCAGGGAUGGCAUUGUUGUCUUGAGAUAUGUCAAACUGGACCUUGCUGUCUUCAGACCACAAUAUUCUCUUGAGAUAAAUCACUUUAAGAAAUAUUGUUUUGCAAAUUUUGUCUUUUCAGUCAUAACAUAUAUAUUUUUUACUACUAUAUCUUAAUCUUAUUGAAACAUUUUCUCUCUUCAAAAACCUACC
Molecule: long non-coding RNA, 759 nt
Organism: Prinia subflava (tawny-flanked prinia)
Lineage: Eukaryota; Metazoa; Chordata; Aves; Passeriformes; Cisticolidae
Exons: 3
Source: RefSeq, a predicted model, not a curated record